CACAUGCAAGUCGAACGAUGAACCCGCUUGCGGGGGAUUAGUGGCGAACGGGUGAGUAACACGUGAGUAACCUGCCCUUAACUCUGGGAUAAGCCUUGGAAACGGGGUCUAAUACUGGAUAUUGACUUUACCUCGCAUGGGGUUUUGUUGAAAGAUUUAUUGGUUUUGGAUGGACUCGCGGCCUAUCAGCUUGUUGGUGAGGUAAUGGCUCACCAAGGCGACGACGGGUAGCCGGCCUGAGAGGGUGACCGGCCACACUGGGACUGAGACACGGCCCAGACUCCUACGGGAGGCAGCAGUGGGGAAUAUUGCACAAUGGGCGAAAGCCUGAUGCAGCGACGCCGCGUGAGGGAUGACGGCCUUCGGGUUGUAAACCUCUUUCAGUAGGGAACAAGGCCACACGUUGUGUGGUUGAGGGUACUUGCAGAAGAAGCGCCGGCUAACUACGUGCCAGCAGCCGCGGUAAUACGUAGGGCGCAAGCGUUAUCCGGAAUUAUUGGGCGUAAAGAGCUCGUAGGCGGUUUGUCGCGUCUGCCGUGAAAGUCCGGGGCUCAACUCCGGAUCUGCGGUGGGUACGGGCAGACUAGAGUGAUGUAGGGGAGACUGGAAUUCCUGGUGUAGCGGUGAAAUGCGCAGAUAUCAGGAGGAACACCGAUGGCGAAGGCAGGUCUCUGGGCAUUAACUGACGCUGAGGAGCGAAAGCAUGGGGAGCGAACAGGAUUAGAUACCCUGGUAGUCCAUGCCGUAAACGUUGGGCACUAGGUGUGGGGGACAUUCCACGUUUUCCGCGCCGUAGCUAACGCAUUAAGUGCCCCGCCUGGGGAGUACGGCCGCAGGCUAAAACUCAAAGGAUUGACGGGGGUCUCGCACAGCGCCGAGCAUGCGAUUAUUCGAUGCACGCGAGACCUACCAGCCUGACAUGACUGAAUAACUUAAACAGUGCCCGCUGCGUCGGUACAGUGGUGCAUGUGUCCUCCGCUCGGUCUGAAUGUGUUAAGUCCCGCACGAGCCCACCCUCGUUCUAGUUGCCACCCGUAAUUGUGGGA
RNAcentral lists this ribosomal RNA (1046 nucleotides) under Arthrobacter sp. TSBY-76. Its description in RNAcentral is "bacterial SSU rRNA". It matches the Rfam family "Bacterial small subunit ribosomal RNA", at positions 52 to 1136 of the family's 1533-position model. The record is from RNAcentral. Lineage: Bacteria; Bacillati; Actinomycetota; Actinomycetes; Micrococcales; Micrococcaceae.